Unclassified non-coding RNA from Panthera pardus (leopard), 308 nucleotides. Its record names the gene 7SK. It matches the Rfam family "7SK RNA". From Rfam's summary of the family: 7SK was discovered as an abundant small nuclear RNA in the mid-70s but a possible function has only recently been suggested. Two independent studies have found that 7SK RNA binds the CDK9/cyclin T complex (known as elongation factor P-TEFb). Lineage: Eukaryota; Metazoa; Chordata; Mammalia; Carnivora; Felidae. The record is from Ensembl.
AAAUAUGAGAGUGAUCUGCAUGCAACAUCUGUCACUCUAUUGAGUGCAAGCAUUCAUAGGCUGACCUGGCUGGCUAGGCUGAAUCCCCUUCUUACUUCAUUCGCUGUGUGUUCUUUUGGAACAUGUUAGCUAGCUUGGUUUAAUAGAAGGACUUUCCCAGAGAGAAGAGGAACAUGUAUGAGUAACUGUACUUCCCUGCAGAAGCUCCAAACAAGUUGUCAGUGUCCAUUUGCAGAAUAUAGGGUAGUCAAGUUUCCAAGACUCCAGGCACAUCCAAAUAAGAUGCUGUGUGUGGCAGUCUGCCCUAA